RNAcentral lists this ribosomal RNA (501 nucleotides) under uncultured bacterium. RNAcentral describes it as "partial 16S ribosomal RNA". It matches the Rfam family "Bacterial small subunit ribosomal RNA", at positions 29 to 523 of the family's 1533-position model. The record is from RNAcentral.
AUUGAACGCUGGCGGCAUGCCUUACACAUGCAAGUCGAACGGCAGCACGGGUGCUUGCACCUGGUGGCGAGUGGCGAACGGGUGAGUAAUACAUCGGAACGUACCUUAUCGUGGGGGAUAACGCAGCGAAAGCUGUGCUAAUACCGCAUACGCCCUGAGGGGGAAAGCGGGGGAUCGCAGGACCUCGCGCGAUUAGAGCGGCCGAUGCCUGAUUAGCUUGUUGGUGGGGUAAAAGCCCACCAAGGCGACGAUCAGUAGCUGGUCUGAGAGGACGAUCAGCAACACUGGGACUGAGAACCGGCCCAGACUCCUACGGGAGGCAGCAGUGGGGAAUUUUGGACAAUGGGGGCAACCCUGAUCCAGCAAUGCCGCGUGAGUGAAGAAGACCUUCGGGUUGUAAAGCUCUUUUGUCAGGGAAGAAACACCGGCUCUAACACAGUCCGGGAAUGACGGUACCUGAAGAAUAAGCACCGGCUAACUACGUGCCAGCCGCCGCAGUAA